AUUGCUGAUCACCUCUCUAAU
This 21-nucleotide microRNA is filed under the name Prunus persica (peach). Its description in RNAcentral is "ppe-miR6267c-5p". Lineage: Eukaryota; Viridiplantae; Streptophyta; Magnoliopsida; Rosales; Rosaceae. The record is from miRBase by way of RNAcentral.